GCGGGCCAGCAUGCGAAAUAGUCAUUCGGCAAUUGUCAGGCUCAUAACCUGAAGGUCAUAGGUUCAAAUCCUAUCCCCGCA
Molecule: transfer RNA, 81 nt
Filed under: Bradyrhizobium diazoefficiens
Lineage: Bacteria; Pseudomonadati; Pseudomonadota; Alphaproteobacteria; Hyphomicrobiales; Nitrobacteraceae
Description: tRNA-Leu
Source: RNAcentral